Bombina bombina (fire-bellied toad) is the source of this 243-nucleotide long non-coding RNA. RefSeq lists it as uncharacterized. The record is from RefSeq and is a predicted model, not a curated record. The transcript has 3 exons. NCBI's taxonomy places the organism in Eukaryota, Metazoa, Chordata, Amphibia, Anura, Bombinatoridae.
GCUAUUUUAAAAAGUAGUAAUAUAGCGGUUUCACGAAGGCUGUUACUGUGAAGAUCACGUACAAUAAACGUCACUGCAUUUGUCAGUAAAGGAGAAACAUUAUAAGAAUAUCUGACACAUUCAGUUGCGCUGAACAAGACGAUGUCUGACAAGAACCAAACCUCAGAGCUUCCUGAUGCGCAAGGAGGGCGUCUAGAGGAAAACCCGGCCACUGGGCUAUUAAAUGUGAAGGAAGAGGAUGAG